GCCUCGUGGGCUCCUCAACUCAGGGUCUGGAAUGCAGGAGAUCCCAGCCCUACUAAUAUUGCAAGGGAGAGAAGAAUGGCAGAGCAUAGGGACUGGCAGGAGCCGUCUUCACUUCCCUCCAGGAACGAAGCACAGAGAGAUGACCUGGAAUGUUCCAGGUCACAUAGCCAGGAGGAGAGCCCAGGCUGUGAAGGAGAAACCUUCCAAGGGUGUCCCUCCCGGCCCUUCUAGGCUUAGAUGAAGCUGCUUGCCUGCUUGCUGACUCAGGGUGGAGAAAGGCUGGGCCGUUGACCUCAGCAGGCUGGAAUAAGAGAGGGAGUGUGAGGGUGGGGUGUCGUGGGGAAGUCAGGGGCAGAGGAAAAUCCAGGAUGUUGCACAAGGAAGAGUGGGGAGAGGGAGGGUCCAUUUUAAUGAGGCAGCUGGAGAGAGGGGCUGGCUCCCUGGACAGAAGGCUGCCGCCCCCGUGAUGAUGCCCCACGCUGCAGGGAUCAAAGCUGCCCUGGGCAUUCUUCCCUGGGAACUGUGUGACAGUGCUGGCCUGCUACUGCCUAAGCUUCUCACAGGGCCACCUGACGUGCCUGCCUCGGUUUCCCUCAUACCCAGCCCACCGCCCCCACUUGUUUCUGAAGAAGCCUGUUCCAGCCCAAUGGCCCUCUCCACGCCUCCAGCUUGGGUUGCUGACUCAGUGACUCAGUCCACUGGGUUGAUGUCCAGGGACUCCUGUGGCUGCAGACCAUCCAUCUCAUCAGUGCCAGGCUCGCCUUUCUGGCCCUUGGUGCCUUCCAGGCCUCAGCCACCAUCUCCAUCUCCCUUUGUCCUUGAGCAUGGCUCUGGACACAGCCAAUCUGAUCUGCUCAAUAUCCUCAGUAUCUGACUCUCGCUUUUGCCCUUGGCCUUUGCACUGGCCAGCAAAGUGAAUGCAAUGGGCCUGGCCCUCUCUCCACCCUGGACCUUUCCAAGUCUUCAUUUCAGCUUGACCCCACCGAGUCCUGCCAUUAGCCUCCCUACGUGUGAGCCUCCCUUCUCUCGGCUGCUGUCUCUGUAGUGUGCUGCACGUAGAGGUCCAGCAGGGGCCAGGAAGCCCAGGGGAUUUUGCUGAGAUGGGACUGGAGGAGAACUGGCUCCUGCUGGGUUACCAAGUGGCGUUACCAUUAUCACCGGCAGCAGAAGAGGGAUCCGAGGGCCAGUAGUGGUGGAGGUGACCCCACUCACCCAAGCAUUCCAUGAAGAGGCUGAAUUCCUUGAUGACUCUUCACAGGCGAGCAAGGAACAAGUUUUGAGAAACCUGAGUAACACCGUAGGCUCAAGGUCUAGAUACAAAUGUUCCUGAAUACUCAGUCUGGCUGUAGAUACUUGGAUUGGAAACAGACUCAGUAGGUCAUCUUGUCCCCCCUCCUGCCUUUGGCAGAACUGACUGUUUUUUUCCCCCUUUCUUCUUCUUCUCCCUAAAGCCCCCCAGUCCAUAGUUAUAUAUUCUAGUCGUGAGUGCCUCUGGCUGUGCUAUGUGGGACGCCUCCUCAGCAUGACUUGAUGAGUGAUGCCAUGUCCACACCCAGGAUCCAAACCGGCGAAACCCUGGGGAGCCAAAGCGGAGUGUGCAAACUUAACCAAUCGGCCACGGGGCCGGCCCCUUGACUAACUCUUGAUAUAUGGUUGUCUUACUCUUUCUAUAUCUCCAGGGAUCAUGAUACUACACAUCCCUCCACUCAUUUACUCAUCCAUCCAUCCUCCCACCUGUCCAUCCAUCCACCCAUCCACCCACCCAUCCAUCAUUUAUUGAAAGAUGAGUAAGACAGGGAUCCUUUCCUUUAAGAACUAAUGGUAUAUUCUUUUCAGGGGUUCCAAUGCCUAAACAACAGGAGUAAUUUCUAAUGUCUGAUCUACAUGUCUAAUGUCUAUGUCUAAUUUCUAAUGUCUACUCUACUGUCUUCAUGUUGUAAAUAAAGAUUAAGGUAAAACAGGUCAUGCAGUCAUGCAUACUUGAAUGCAUAAUUCAUUCCACAAAACUUUUGGAGCAUGUUCUUGGCUCCAGGUGUAUUAGAAGAUGCCCCUCUAUUUUGGGCAUGCCGCUUACCUUUCAAGCUCACUAGGAAUACUCCAAGGCCAGGAAAUUAACUGGCAUUUAACACGUGG
Molecule: long non-coding RNA, 2133 nt
Filed under: Equus caballus (horse)
Lineage: Eukaryota; Metazoa; Chordata; Mammalia; Perissodactyla; Equidae
Description: lncRNA (ENSECAG00000040211.2)
Source: RNAcentral